RNAcentral lists this ribosomal RNA (459 nucleotides) under uncultured bacterium. RNAcentral describes it as "partial 16S ribosomal RNA". It matches the Rfam family "Bacterial small subunit ribosomal RNA", at positions 338 to 795 of the family's 1533-position model. The record is from RNAcentral.
CCUACGGGAGGCAGCAGUGAGGAAUAUUGGUCAAUGGACGAGAGUCUGAACCAGCCAAGUAGCGUGAAGGAUGACUGCCCUAUGGGUUGUAAACUUCUUUUAUAUGGGAAUAAAACGUUCCACGUGUGGGAUUUUGUAUGUACCAUAUGAAUAAGGAUCGGCUAACUCCGUGCCAGCAGCCGCGGUAAUACGGAGGAUCCGAGCGUUAUCCGGAUUUAUUGGGUUUAAAGGGAGCGUAGGUGGAUUGUUAAGUCAGUUGUGAAAGUUUGCGGCUCAACCGUAAAAUUGCAGUUGAAACUGGCAGUCUUGAGUACAGUAGAGGUGGCGGAAUUCGUGGUGUAGCGGUGAAAUGCUUAGAUAUCACGAAGAACUCCGAUUGCGAAGGCAGUUCACUGGACUGCAACUGACACUGAGGCUCGAAAGUGUGGGUAUCAAACAGGAUUAGAUACCCUAGUAGCC